AGAGCAGCGGUAGCUCGUCGGGCUCAUAACCCGAAGGUCGGAGGUUCGAUCCCUUCCCUCG
Molecule: transfer RNA, 61 nt
Filed under: Sediminibacterium sp.
Lineage: Bacteria; Pseudomonadati; Bacteroidota; Chitinophagia; Chitinophagales; Chitinophagaceae
Description: tRNA-Met
Rfam family: tRNA
About the family: Transfer RNA (tRNA) molecules are approximately 80 nucleotides in length.
Source: RNAcentral